Molecule: ribosomal RNA, 351 nt
Filed under: uncultured bacterium
Lineage: Bacteria
Description: bacterial SSU rRNA
Rfam family: Bacterial small subunit ribosomal RNA
Source: RNAcentral
GGGCCCGCACAAGCGGUGGAGCAUGUGGUUUAAUUCGAUGAUACGCGAGGAACCUUACCAGGGCUUAAAUGUAGUGGGACAGGUCUAGAGAUAGACCCUUCUUCGGACUCAUUACAAGGUGCUGCAUGGUUGUCGUCAGCUCGUGCCGUGAGGUGUCAGGUUAAGUCCUAUAACGAGCGCAACCCCUAUCGUUAGUUGCCAGCGGGUAAUGCCGGGAACUCUAGCGAAACUGCCGGUGCAAACCGUGAGGAAGGUGGGGAUGACGUCAAAUCAUCACGGCCCUUACGUCCUGGCUACACACGUGCUACAAUGGUCGGUACAGAGAGCAGCCACUACGCGAGUAGGAGCGAA